CUACGGGUGGCAGCAGUGGGGAAUUUUGCGCAAUGGGGGAAACCCUGACGCAGCAAUACCGCGUGAGUGAAGAAGGCCUUUGGGUCGUAAAGCUCUUUUCUUGGGGAAGAUAGUGACGGUACCCAAGGAAUAAGCACCGGCUAACUCCGUGCCAGCAGCCGCGGUAAUACGGAGGGUGCAAGCGUUGUUCGGAUUUACUGGGCGUAAAGGGCACGUAGGCGGCACAGCAAGUUAAGGGUGAAAUCCCGGGGCUCAACUCCGGAACUGCUCUUAAAACUGGUGAGCUAGAGAUAGUCAGAGGCGGGUGGAAUUCCAGGUGUAGAGGUGAAAUUCGUAGAUAUCUAGAGGAACACCGGUGGCGAAGGCGGCCCGCUGGGGCUAUUCUGACGCUAAGGUGCGAAAGCGUGGGGAGCAAACGGGAUUAGAUACCCCUGUAGUC
This 439-nucleotide ribosomal RNA is filed under the name uncultured bacterium. RNAcentral describes it as "partial 16S ribosomal RNA". It matches the Rfam family "Bacterial small subunit ribosomal RNA", at positions 339 to 795 of the family's 1533-position model. The record is from RNAcentral.